RNAcentral lists this microRNA (22 nucleotides) under Human betaherpesvirus 5. Its description in RNAcentral is "hcmv-miR-UL112-3p". Its record names the gene hcmv-miR-UL112-3p. Lineage: Duplodnaviria; Heunggongvirae; Peploviricota; Herviviricetes; Herpesvirales; Orthoherpesviridae. RNAcentral also lists the same sequence under 1 other name. The record is from miRBase by way of RNAcentral.
AAGUGACGGUGAGAUCCAGGCU